Bos taurus (domestic cattle) is the source of this 578-nucleotide long non-coding RNA. NCBI's taxonomy places the organism in Eukaryota, Metazoa, Chordata, Mammalia, Artiodactyla, Bovidae. The record is from Ensembl.
UCCUUACUAUGCGGUGCGAGGACCCAACAACAUUCCAGACGUUAAGGCCACGCCCCGGGCCACUCCCCCCUCGUCGGGCUGCGGCCUCCCAGUCUCCUCGGCCACACCCCCCUUCCCAACUACUUAAAAGGACACUCCAAAGCUCACGUUUCCUUGCUCUGUAUCGGGGUGUUCUUGUCUGGGUAUCUCUACCCGCUUACGGUGGAAUGGUUGCGCCCUUCGGGUAGCCAAGCAAGCCUCCAAGCAUAAGUCAGGUCGGACCAGGAUGAGAGAGAGGUUUCGGGCAGUUGUUUUACUUCCUGCUUGGCGCACGAAUUGUGGCCCCCUCGUUUCACGCUGCUUGCAGGAUCCUAGUUUCCCAACCAGGGAUCGAACCUGGGUCCAGAGCAGUGAAAGUGUCAAGUCCUAACCACUGGACUGCCAGGGCCCGCAUCCAAAUCCAUCCCCAGUUCUCCUGGAAGAUGCAAAUCUGAUCCUGGCUAUAUGAAAUGAUUCAGCAGUUCCCCAGGACUUUCAGAACAAACUCAGAUGCCUGGCUCUGGCUCCUGGUGGCUCACCCGCCCCAUUUCUCACACACC